GACGAACGCUGGCGGCGUGCCUAAUACAUGCAAGUUGAGCGCUGAAGGUUGGUACUUGUACCAACUGGAUGAGCAGCGAACGGGUGAGUAACGCGUGGGGAAUCUGCCUUUGAGCGGGGGACAGCAUUUGGAAACGAAUGCUAAUACCGCAUAAAAACUUUAAACACAAGUUUUAAGUUUGAAAGAUGCAAUUGCAUCACUCAAAGAUGAUCCCGCGUUGUAUUAGCUAGUUGGUGAGGUAAAGGCUCACCAAGGCGAUGAUACAUAGCCGACCUGAGAGGGUGAUCGGCCACAUUGGGACUGAGACACGGCCCAAACUCCUACGGGAGGCAGCAGUAGGGAAUCUUCGGCAAUGGACGAAAGUCUGACCGGGCAACGCCGCGUGAGUGAAGAAGGUUUUCGGAUCGUAAAACUCUGUUGGUAGAGAAGAACGUUGGUGAGAGUGGAAAGCUCAUCAAGUGACGGUAACUACCCAGAAAGGGACGGCUAACUACGUG
This 497-nucleotide ribosomal RNA is filed under the name uncultured bacterium. Its description in RNAcentral is "partial 16S ribosomal RNA". It matches the Rfam family "Bacterial small subunit ribosomal RNA", at positions 28 to 507 of the family's 1533-position model. The record is from RNAcentral.